RNAcentral lists this ribosomal RNA (752 nucleotides) under uncultured Actinomyces sp. RNAcentral's name for it is "bacterial SSU rRNA". It matches the Rfam family "Bacterial small subunit ribosomal RNA", at positions 28 to 776 of the family's 1533-position model. Lineage: Bacteria; Bacillati; Actinomycetota; Actinomycetes; Actinomycetales; Actinomycetaceae. The record is from RNAcentral.
GACGAACGCUGGCGGCGUGCUUAACACAUGCAAGUCGAACGCUGAAGCCUAGCUUUUGUUGGGUGGAUGAGUGGCGAACGGGUGAGUAACACGUGAGUAACCUGCCCCCUUCUUUGGGAUAACGCCCGGAAACGGGUGCUAAUACUGGAUACUCACUGAUCUUCGCAUGGGGGUUGGUGGAAAGGUUUUUUCUGGUGGGGGAUGGGCUCGCGGCCUAUCAGCUUGUUGGUGGGGUGAUGGCCUACCAAGGCUUUGACGGGUAGCCGGCCUGAGAGGGUGACCGGUCACAUUGGGACUGAGAUACGGCCCAGACUCCUACGGGAGGCAGCAGUGGGGAAUAUUGCACAAUGGGCGAAAGCCUGAUGCAGCGACGCCGCGUGAGGGAUGGAGGCCUUCGGGUUGUAAACCUCUUUCGCUCAUGGUCAAGCCGCAACAUUGGUUGUGGUGAGGGUAGUGGGUAAAGAAGCGCCGGCUAACUACGUGCCAGCAGCCGCGGUAAUACGUAGGGCGCGAGCGUUGUCCGGAAUUAUUGGGCGUAAAGGGCUUGUAGGCGGUUGGUCGCGUCUGCCGUGAAAUCCUCUGGCUUAACUGGGGGCGUGCGGUGGGUACGGGCUGACUUGAGUGCGGUAGGGGAGACUGGAACUCCUGGUGUAGCGGUGGAAUGCGCAGAUAUCAGGAAGAACACCGGUGGCGAAGGCGGGUCUCUGGGCCGUUACUGACGCUGAGGAGCGAAAGCGUGGGGAGCGAACAGG